CAGCCGCCGCGGUAAUACGAAGGGGGCUAGCGUUGCUCGGAAUCACUGGGCGUAAAGGGUGCGUAGGCGGGUCUUUAAGUCAGGGGUGAAAUCCUGGAGCUCAACUCCAGAACUGCCUUUGAUACUGAAGAUCUUGAGUUCGGGAGAGGUGAGUGGAACUGCGAGUGUAGAGGUGAAAUUCGUAGAUAUUCGCAAGAACACCAGUGGUGAAGGCGGCUCACUGGCCCGAUACUGACGCUGAGGCACGAAAGCGUGGGGAGCAAACAGGAUUAGAUACCCCGGUAGUCCCUGUCUCUUAUAC
RNAcentral lists this ribosomal RNA (301 nucleotides) under uncultured bacterium. RNAcentral describes it as "partial 16S ribosomal RNA". It matches the Rfam family "Bacterial small subunit ribosomal RNA", at positions 509 to 807 of the family's 1533-position model. The record is from RNAcentral.